Molecule: long non-coding RNA, 1898 nt
Organism: Macaca fascicularis (crab-eating macaque)
Lineage: Eukaryota; Metazoa; Chordata; Mammalia; Primates; Cercopithecidae
Source: Ensembl
UUUUUUUUUUUUUUCUUUUGGCAAUAAAAUAAGGUAUAUUUAGCACAAUACCUAGUAACUAAAAAAUCUGUUUUUAUUUGGGUGGGGUACACAGCAAGUGUGUCAUCCUGGAAGAUACUAUUUGGAAUUUUAUGUAGGUACAUAAAGAGAAAAAAGUGAAAAGGGGCUACUAGGACACUGCAGUAUGCUUAAUGUGUAUUUUCUAGUAAGUUUGUAUUAGGCCAUUAUCUUGGUACUUUUAUCUUCUGUUCUCACUUGAUCUUUUUGAAAUGUAUUUUCAAUCCUAAUAAAAAUAUAUAAAGUCCUGAUUUAAUAAAGGAUUAAAUGAAACUUUUGUAUAUCGCACUGCAAUUCUCCGAAAAAAGGGGAGUGUGGGGAGGGGGAAUUAUCUGGCAUAGUGACUCAAAAUUGUGAACACGUUCUUACCAAGGAAUAUGGCAACUGCAUAACCAAAUGUCAGUGGUUACCAAACUUAUGAAUCACCUGGUGUUGUGUCAUAGAUUGCUUGUCUCUCGCCCCCAGUGAUUUGGAUCAGUGGAAAUAUGUGGGGUUUAAGGAAUAUAAAAUAUAUUUAUGUAUAUAUUUGUGUGUGUCGCAAAAGCUUCAGGGUAUAUAUAUUUGUGUGUGUCUCAAAAGCUUCAGGGUAAAAUAAGUUUUAACUGUUUAGGAAACUAUUGUUUAAGGUAUCCAGUCUCAAAAAUGAAGGCCUUAAAACUUAGACCUAAUUUUUUCAUUACAUUUCUUGCGCAGAAAAUGGUAAAAUACCCAACGUUAACAGUGGGGAAUUGUCUACAUAUCAACACUUGACUAAAAAGCUUUACUAUCCAUGACAGCAGCCUUUCCAUUACUCUAUUCUGAGAGCAUUUAACGUCUUGAAACCCAGGAAUAAAUACCUAUAGAUUCACAGUACCUGAAAGGAAUAUCAAAUUGAGACAAAAGGACUAUGUAAACGGAAAAUUGCUUCAACCAUAGAAUGGAGGUCUACAGGUGCGGAAGGAAAGUUUACAUGGUGAGGCGUGGUCGCAAAAGUUUAGGAAUAUUCUCAGGUUACUACACAAUUUAACGAGCUCAAUAUGCAUUUAUAUUUUUUCCUUCCACUCUCCUGAGCAGAUUUACACUGACCGCCCCGGUAGCAAACCGACUAUGGAAAAGGCAAAUUAUGUGCACAUUACCAUGUUAUUACCAGGUAGUUCUCGACCAAGCUACAGAUUCUGGCUUUAUCUUAUAUUCCUCUCCCAUCAGCUGCAGAAAAAGGGAUAGGUGCUGUGAAAAACUCCCUAAGUAGAACUUACAGUAAGCAGUGUGAAAACAGCUUAUUUCACUGAAGGGGUUAAGCAGCCCAGAAAAGAGACUUUGGAGUCAAGCAGCCGGGACUCGCUUGGAGCCGGUGUACUUGGUGACAGCCUUGCAAGUGCCCUGGGACAAGGCGUGCUUGGGCCAGCUCGCCGGGCAGCAGCAGGCGCAGGGCCGUCUGGCUCUCGCGGGACGUGAUGGUGGAGCGCUUGUUGUAGUGCGCCAGGCGGGACGCCUCUCCCGCGAUGCGCUCGAAGAUGUCGUUGGCGAAGGAGUUCAUGAUGCCCAUGGCCUUGGACGAGAUGCCGGUGUCGGGGUGGACCUGCUUCAGCACCUUGUACAUGCAGAUGGAGUAGCUCUCCUUGCGGCUGCGCUUGCGCUUCUUGCCGUCUUUCUUCUGGGCUUUGGUGACGGCUUUCUGGGCGCCCUUCUUGGGAGCCGGCGCGGACUUUGCAGGUUCAGGCACGGCCAGACCCAAGACCGACUCUCACCCGCCGAGAACGCAGGCAGAACCUUGGUCUCGGGCUCUACCGGAAACGACUGUGCACUUACAGAGGCCGUGCGCGUGACGCUGCGUUGCGGUUCGCGAGUUUUUCGCGGCGCCC